GCUAAACGCGAAGAACCUUACCCAGGCUUGACAUGCAGUAGACAGCGCUAGAGAUAGCGCCUUCCUUCGGGACUGCUGCACAGGUGCUGCAUGGCUGUCGUCAGCUCGUGCCGUGAGGUGUUGGGUUAAGUCCCGCAACGAGCGCAACCCUUAUCGUAUGUUGCCAGCAUUUAGUUGGGCACUCGUGCGAGACUGCCGGUGAUAAGCCGGAGGAAGGCGGGGACGACGUCAAGUCAUCAUGGCCCUUACGUGUGGGGCUAGAAACGUGCUACAAUGGGAAUGACAGUGAGCAGCGAGGUCGCGAGGCCAAGCUAAUCUCCAAAAGCUCUCUCAGUUCAGAUUGUAGUCUGCAACUCGACUACAUGAAGUUGGAAUCGCUAGUAAUCGCAGAUCAGCAUUGCUGCGGUGAAUACGUUCCC
Molecule: ribosomal RNA, 419 nt
Filed under: uncultured bacterium
Lineage: Bacteria
Description: bacterial SSU rRNA
Rfam family: Bacterial small subunit ribosomal RNA
Source: RNAcentral